RNAcentral lists this ribosomal RNA (497 nucleotides) under uncultured bacterium. RNAcentral's name for it is "partial 16S ribosomal RNA". It matches the Rfam family "Bacterial small subunit ribosomal RNA", at positions 28 to 507 of the family's 1533-position model. The record is from RNAcentral.
GACGAACGCUGGCGGCGUGCCUAAUACAUGCAAGUAGAACGCUGAAGAGAGGAGCUUGCUCUUCUUGGAUGAGUUGCGAACGGGUGAGUAACGCGUAGGUAACCUGCCUGGUAGCGGGGGAUAACUAUUGGAAACGAUAGCUAAUACCGCAUAAAAUUGAUUAUUGCAUGAUAAUUAAUUGAAAGAUGCAACUGCAUCACUACCAGAUGGACCUGCGCUGUAUUAGCUAGUUGGUGAGGUAACGGCUCACCAAGGCGACGAUACAUAGCCGACCUGAGAGGGUGAUCGGCCACACUGGGACUGAGACACGGCCCAGACUCCUACGGGAGGCAGCAGUAGGGAAUCUUCGGCAAUGGGGGGAGCCCUGACCGAGCAACGCCGCGUGAGUGAAGAAGGUUUUCGGAUCGUAAAGCUCUGUUGUAAGAGAAGAACGGGUGUGAGAGUGGAAAGUUCACACUGUGACGGUAUCUUACCAGAAAGGGACGGCUAACUACGUG